GACGAACGCUGGCGGCGUGCUUAACACAUGCAAGUCGAACGGUGAAGGGAUGAGCUUGCUGGUUCUGGAUGAUUGGCGAACAGGGGAGUAACACGCGAGAAACCUCCCCCCUUCUUCGGGAGAACCGCAUGAAAGAGUGGCUAAUACGGGAUAUUCUGCGCCUGCUGCAUGGUGGGGGUGGGAAAGAGGUUGUUUCUGUGUGGAAUGGGCUCGCGUCUGAUGAGGUUGUGGGUGGGUAGAUGGCCCACCAAGGCGAAGACGGUUAGCCGGUCUGAGAGGGUGAGCGGCCACAGUGGGACUGAGACACGGCCCAGACUCCGACGGGUGGGAGCAGUGGGGGUGCUUCCGCAAUGGACGAGAGCCUGACGGAGCAACGCCGCGGGAGUGUUGACGGCCUUCGGGUUGUGGAGCUCUGUCACUCGGGACGGAAGGCCUUCUUGCGAAUAGGGAGAAGGAUUGACGGUACCGGGAUAGAAAGCCACGGCUAACUACGUG
RNAcentral lists this ribosomal RNA (495 nucleotides) under uncultured bacterium. RNAcentral's name for it is "partial 16S ribosomal RNA". It matches the Rfam family "Bacterial small subunit ribosomal RNA", at positions 28 to 507 of the family's 1533-position model. The record is from RNAcentral.